UGCAGUCCUCCUGCAGUUUGCCACAUAAUGCCCAAGAAAAUCCUGGCUCCAGACUGGAGGGAAAUUCAAGCAAGGCAACUUCCUUGCAACCGCUACCAAGAGCCUUGCCUGUACUCUUGUCCUGUGUUUUGAAAGCAGAGGGACGCUGUGAAGGAUUUUCAAUU
This is a long non-coding RNA of Syngnathus acus (greater pipefish), 164 nucleotides long. RefSeq lists it as uncharacterized. Lineage: Eukaryota; Metazoa; Chordata; Actinopteri; Syngnathiformes; Syngnathidae. The transcript has 3 exons. The record is from RefSeq and is a predicted model, not a curated record.